UUCCUCUCUCUCUCUCUCUCUCUGUUCCUCCCUUCAGGUCUAUCGAAGGAGCUCAAAUCCAAAGUCCGAGCAAUGCAAAUUCGCUCAGCACGAAUGAUCUGAGAAUGAACACGCACAAAGUGUUAAAGAGACGAGCCCAUCACAUGAGUUGUAGUAGUAGUCAUCGUAAUCGACAGUGGUGGAGGAGUCAGAGUCAUCAGGACGCAGAGCAAGGUCCAGAGGCAAAAAGCGAGGCGGCCCAAUUCCAGACCGGUCCUAUUCCGGUCGAACUCCUCCCAGAUCAUCAAACCGCUGCUUUAAGUUUGCGUCUGAAGCAGUCCUGCAUCUCCGUUAUUUCCAUGAUGCUGAAUUUGGUAUGCUGUUUCUUUUUGUUUCCUCUCUUCACAGGUUUAUAGAGCUUUCAGGCUUAGAUGGAUGCUAUUACGGGCGUGUCAUGAUUAGACAAUCAUGUAUAUGUAGUAUAGGUACAAACUUCUUUUUAUAUCAAUUUGGGUUCAGUCAUGAUGAAUUAUUGUUGUUUAAUCUUUGGCUCGUGUUCCGUUUGUCAAUUCAGAUAUGUUCAUGAUUUUCUUAAAUUUGGGGCUAAAUAAUAAACCUUCAAUGGCUUCUAGAUUCAGGUUCGCCCUCAACAAUUCACAAUGCCAAUAAUCUCAAUUCGGAAGUAAAUUGGUUAAAUGGUGAUAAUAUGAUUGUUUUUAGUUUUAUAAUAUUGAAAGUGUCAUUGGAUUCUAUGCAUCAACGUUACUGUAUGACUUCUUGUCAAAUGAUAAAUUUGUGGAUUUUGUGUAUUUGAUUGAGGGUUUUUGUGUUUCAAGGCCAAAAACUCAGAAAUAUUGUAUUUGACUGCAUUCUCUGGCUCUGUAGGCAUUGUAUGACAGGUCACUACUGCCAUCAAAAGCUUCAGAUAUGCAUAUAUGUCUAUUACAUUGCCAUCUGCCUCAAAGAAUUCACAAGCAUGUUGAUUGUGCUAGUAAUUUUGAGUUCUUGAAUCAAUACAAGUUUUGAGACAGUCACAAUCUUAUUGUUCAUGUACUAAAAAGUUUAUCAGCAUGGUUGUGCUACAAUUACGUUCGCUUUCUACUCUGUAUGAUCAAUAUGACAUUGUGAUUGGAAUGUAGAUUAAUGCAUCUGGUCUAUAAGUUGUGUCUGUUUAAUUGAUUUAUCA
RNA transcript from Rosa chinensis, 1165 nucleotides. RefSeq lists it as uncharacterized. NCBI's taxonomy places the organism in Eukaryota, Viridiplantae, Streptophyta, Magnoliopsida, Rosales, Rosaceae. The record is from RefSeq and is a predicted model, not a curated record. The transcript is spliced from 3 exons.